This 4154-nucleotide long non-coding RNA is filed under the name Pelobates cultripes (western spadefoot toad). The record is from RNAcentral. Lineage: Eukaryota; Metazoa; Chordata; Amphibia; Anura; Pelobatidae.
GGGUUAAUGAAAAACUUGAGGAAUGUUUAUUCUGAGGGGAUGGUAUGCCCCUUAUAAAGCAAAAUUACAUCAUAUGCUUUGUCAGAGAUAACAUGAAAUAAUUGGUUAGGUGUUAAGUGGUUCAUUUAUUGCUCUUCCUAGCGGGUGUGAUGUCACUGGUAUCUUGGAGGUGUCCCCCAGAUUCCAGCACCAUCUUGUUAGUGAGGGUGUUAGUCGAUGUCGAAGGGAAACUCCCUAGAGGCCAUUUUAGGUAAAUCACAUAUAAAGUUGAAUAAUACGGAUUGUAGGUAUGCUGAGUAAAUAGGCAUUUUACUAACAUAAAUUGAAUUAAUGUUUGUCCACAACAAGGAGCUUACACCUUUUAUAUGAACAAUUUAAAUCAGUCUAAUACAUAAAAAGACAAAAAGGUACAUCACCAUGAAGCACAGUCCAUUCAAUUUUUAGAACGAACCAGGUACUUACAACAGGUGUAGUGUAUUGGGGAUUUUUUUUUGCCCAAGUUGUGUCAAUGAUCUUUCAGUUUUUUUAAACCUUACCUUUGAAUUUCUUGUCCAAACACCACAUUAAGAAGUUGCCUGCAUUCUUGCAUAAUAAAUCUACAUCGAUGGUUGUAAGAUAUGACAGAUUGACAUCUGUAAUGCCUCUAUUUUGUACUUUAACUGUUACUGUGAACAUUUACACAAAGUUUGCCAAUCUGUCCUUGUAAAUAUGGAAUUUGUCUUGUCUUUGCAAGUUGGCUAGGCAUUCCUGCUCUGUGAGUAUAAAAAGAUCACCAUGUCGUCAAGGCAAUUACAAAACUGCGUAUUCUAAUAUCAAAAGCUUUACUUAAAUUAACAUCAUUCAGAAUAUACAGUAAGACAUUAGAAUAAUCAACAAAAACAAUGUUUAAGGAACAUUCUUUUGUAAAUAUUUAUAAAGUAUUAUAUAAACUAUAAAAUUACAAGAAACAACGAGAUACAUUUAACACUAGUAGCAUAGAUGCACAAUAUGUUAACAUGCAGAUGGAAGGAAAAAAAUCUAGCUGUGUUAUUAUGAACUAUAAAGAUUGUGUGUGGGUUUAUCAGAAGUAGAAUUUUAAAAAUGUAACCUAUUAAAUACAAUAGUUGCUUUACAGUCCACACAAAAUAGAAUUAUUUUCAAUAUAAAACAUGUAAUAAAAAGGAUGUUUAUGUGCUUCAGAUAACAAUGAAGCAUUUUGAUACAUAUCCUAUUAUGGAUCUAUUUUAUUCCCACAAAUAUAAAUAUACAGUUACACAAGGUUUACGUAACAAUGUUUAAAAUGAAGGCAUCGGGGGCGGAGCGUUCCUGCCGAUCAGAACAGACAUGUUUAGUCUGAGCUCCUGUAACCGUUCCAGUAAACUGGGUUUAGCUGCAGGCCACACGCCUAAACCGACCCGGACUGGUACUUACUCUGCUAAGUUGACAACUGUGCACACAGGGAUACCUCCUACAACCCUGUGCAGCAUUGAAAUUACCCGCCCGAGGCUUGAGGCCUACCUGAGCUUGAGUUGGGGUGAGAUGGCGGCUCCCCCAGUUCUCUGACCGGUGCUUUGCUGUCCCCCCCCUCUGGACCGGCGGUGGUUAUCCCGGUCCCCACUGUUGAACAUCGCUACCCCCAGUCGCCUUCCAGCACUCCCCUUGAUGCAGAUUCUGGACAAGCACAUCAAGAUGGCGAACAUGAGGCUGUCACGUGCACAAACAACUGCCAUGCACACACCGAGCGCCCAUGAGUUAACACUGCAACAACUGGCUUGGACUUUCCACAAAUUCUGGGCCACGCUAUCAGACCACUUUGAGGUGCCAAAUGCUUUGAUUGGGGGAGGAGGCCAGCCACCAAGCUGGGGCAUCGGUUAAGUCAAACUUUCCAUCCCACAUAGAUUUAUGCUUACAGUGCACAGCAUGCCACCUUUAUUUAAUUUGCUUUUGUUCUGUUUUCUUUUCCUGUUGUCAUGCUGUGUCCCUGCUUAUCUUCUACCAUGUAUGCUAGACACUAGAGAAACAGCACCCGCUACUACACAGACUACACGCAGACAUCUGGGUCACUGCAUAACAUAAAAAAGGAAAAAGGAAGACCUGGGGAAAAAGGGGGAAAGAGGGGGAAAAAGGCACCCUUCCCCCUGUCCCACAAGGUCAGCCUACUAGGAAAACCCUACCUAGAAGUAAUGCUAAAACUUAACCUUUAAUAAGAAAGUGGUAAAAGUGUCAAAUACGAAAUAAACAAAAAAUUACUAAAUAAAAAAAUAGAUAUCACCCAGGAUGUCAGGUAUAAAGUGUAUAAUAUGUCCACUAGGAUCGCCUAAUGAUAAUAAUAAACUUGCUGAAACAGCAGUGUAUAACACCCUUACCUAGACAUCUAUGUUAGGGGGCUAGAAUCAGAGAUGGGGUAAAGAUUAGGAAAAAUAUAUAUAACGUAGGGAAAAACUCAUAUGUAAUCCCCUCCAAAUUCAAGAAAGGAAAAAAACAAUCCAUAAAUCUCUGCCACAAAAUAAAAAGAGCUCCUAAUACAUAGUAGCAUAGAGUAUCAAUAGCUGGAUGCACUAAUGGAUACAGUAAGCUAAUCUAAAGUAGAUACAAUGUGAUUACCAGUAUAUAAGAUGAGUCACUAAUAGAUAUAUAGUGGCAAAAAUUACAUAUUUCCCUUUCAUAGGAACAUCAAAACAACAUCGGAUGCCCCAAAUGAAAAAAUGCUAACAAGUAAAUGCUGGAGCUCCUAAUGUAUUAUAUACUGGCAAGAUCUAUAUCUAUAUGUAUAGACAAGAAAAAGUCAUAAGUGAGUGCGUUAUCAAAGGAGGGCAACAGGGUUGCUACAGAGUAUUAUCACCACCCGCAAACAUCAAAAGACCCCCAAAGUCAAACUACUGGCUUAAUAGCUACUAAAGGAAAAGUUUAUAAAUGCUCCCUCUCUACAACUGCCUAAUGCGCGUUUCGGGGCUAUUAAUUGUGCCUUCAUCAGAGGCAAAACAGUGGUCCACCACGGACCGGUUCAUUUAUACAUAAACUGAACCAACGAAAUUAAGGGGGCGUGUUGAAUCCUGUUCGUGCCAAAACCAGGUCACCGCAUAACAUAGACAUAAACCCAGGGCCGGUGCAAGGAUUUUUGCCGCCCUAGGCAAAAAAAAAAUUUGCCGCCCCCCCCCCAUAUGUCCUGGCCACCAUGUGACAUCACAAUGCCCCGCCCAUAUGCUCUGCCAUAUGGGCCAACGCCAGUCUUCACAAAGUGUCUUUUAUCUUUAAAGACAGUGUGUUUACAUUAAAAAGCCUACAGGCACAGGCUAUAGACACCAGAACCACUACAUUAUGCUGUAGUGCUUCUAGUAUCCAUUUAAUGUGAGGUAAAUUAGAGAUUAGUGCCACUAAUAAUAUAUUGGAUUGCCUACUUACCACCAGGUGAGAACAAGAGGCUGAUGAUGGGCUCUGUCUGGCUCCACAGGUCUGGUGUAGAAGAGGCUCUCAGGAGACUGUUUUUAACAGUGCUCACAACAAUUAACGAACAGGAAGCAGCUCCAUUUUUUAGGGCCCCUUACACAGCUCAAGGUCUGGGCCCCCAGGGCUUGACCGUGAGUAUGCCUACAAUGCCCACCCAUGAGUUCUCUCACAGGAAGUGGAGUGUAUGUUUGUAGGGGAUGUUUUAUGUGUUAUUGUAGAGGAUGCAAUGUGUGUGUGUUCUUAUAGAAUGUAGUGUAUAGGGAUACCAAUUUGUGUAAGGGAUGUAGUGUGUUUAUAGGGGAUGCAGUGUGUGUUUGCGUGUAAGGAAUGCAUUGUAUGUUUCUGGGUGUGUGUGUGUGUGUGUGUAAGGGUUGCAAGGUGUGUUUCUGUGUAUUUAAUUGAAUGCAGUGUGUGUCUGUAAGGGGUGCAUUGAUUGUGUAAGAGAUGCAUUUUGUUUCUGUGUGUAAGAGAAUGAGUGUUUGUGUGAACGUAAGGGAUGCAUUGUGUGUUUCGGGUGUGUCUGUGUGUGAGUAGGAAUGCAUUGUAUGUUUCUGUGUGUGUGUGUGGGGGGGAUGCAUUGUGUAUGUGUGUAGUGUGAAAGAGAGGGUUUGUGGGGUAGGAUAGAGACUGAGAGGGGAGCAGCUCUUAAUUUUUUUUUUUUUUUUCCUGGUGCUCUCCCCCCUGUCAAUUAUUGAUUUCCCCUUCCCUCCUGUCCCUCCGUGUUCUCC